GUGCAGUUGACGAUGAGCCCACUCUGGUUGCAGUCUGCGUUGAGGUCACAUCCACCGUUGUAUUCGGAGCAGAGGUCUGGAGCUGCAGCAGGAAGGAUGAAACUUUCACCUGAUUGGCUCACAGCUUGGAGAUUCUGCCCCACUUCUCUUCCUGGGUCUCUUGCUGACUCCAUGGGUGUGGACCACUCCUGCCCAUCAAGAUGCAAUCAAAAGCCUUAAGGCUUUCAGUUCCCUAUAAGGCUCACUAACUGAAGUCUGUCUGCAGCAGAGCAGCCAUUCCCUCUGUUUCAAGAACAUUUCCUCCGUAGCCUAAAGUCAACAGCUACGAGUGGAUUUGGAAACCAAAGAGUGAACAAACCAGGUCAAUUCGGAGGUCAACUCUUCAAGGACGAGAAGCGAAUAGAUUCCAUCUCCGCCACGAGGACCAACUGUGGAAACACCUCCUCCAGACUCUGAUCCGUGAUACCCGUCAAUCAAAGCUACACCCCCAGCAGCUUAGAGGCACGAAUGCCUCUCAAACAUACGGAUGCAGACAGAAGAGUCAGACAAUAACGACAAGACAACGAUGAUGACGUAGCAAAAGAAAAUUCUGUCAUUUAUUCACAAAAUAAUUUCACGAGGCUUUUACUGGAGGAGAAUAAACGAAUAAAGGUAUUUGGACUGGACCAACCAGACUGUGGACGGAUUUAUGUUCAAGUUUAUUGUUAAGUUGUAAUCCCAGACCUCCAGUGCGCCCCCUCCAGAUGUUUUUAAUCACCAGCCGCCACUUUGUAUAACCAUCAAAAAACAUAACUUUUGUGCUGUUUUAUGUCAUUUUGUGAGCAGGACUGAAGCUGCAGGAAGAGCGUUUUAUUCCUGCAGAAGAAGAGGCAAGUUAUUUUAUCUGAACCACAUUUGGGUCAGACUGAUAUAACCAGCCAUGUUAUCAGACACUGAAGGACAGAGCCUUCAGCCUGUGUCUGUUUGUCAGGCAGUAACAUUCCUGGGGAAUGGUACCGAAUGGCAGAUUUAAAUUUUCAAGAUUGA
Girardinichthys multiradiatus is the source of this 1026-nucleotide long non-coding RNA. RefSeq lists it as uncharacterized. The record is from RefSeq and is a predicted model, not a curated record. Lineage: Eukaryota; Metazoa; Chordata; Actinopteri; Cyprinodontiformes; Goodeidae. The transcript has 3 exons.